RNAcentral lists this ribosomal RNA (613 nucleotides) under uncultured Comamonas sp. RNAcentral's name for it is "bacterial SSU rRNA". It matches the Rfam family "Bacterial small subunit ribosomal RNA", at positions 55 to 665 of the family's 1533-position model. The record is from RNAcentral. Lineage: Bacteria; Pseudomonadati; Pseudomonadota; Betaproteobacteria; Burkholderiales; Comamonadaceae.
AUGCAAGUCGAACGGUAACAGGUCUUCGGAUGCUGACGAGUGGCGAACGGGUGAGUAAUACAUCGGAACGUGCCUAGUAGUGGGGGAUAACUACUCGAAAGAGUGGCUAAUACCGCAUGAGAUCUACGGAUGAAAGCAGGGGAUCGCAAGACCUUGUGCUACUAGAGCGGCCGAUGGCAGAUUAGGUAGUUGGUGGGAUAAAAGCUUACCAAGCCGACGAUCUGUAGCUGGUCUGAGAGGACGAUCAGCCACACUGGGACUGAGACACGGCCCAGACUCCUACGGGAGGCAGCAGUGGGGAAUUUUGGACAAUGGGCGCAAGCCUGAUCCAGCAAUGCCGCGUGCAGGAUGAAGGCCUUCGGGUUGUAAACUGCUUUUGUACGGAACGAAAAGCCCUGGGUUAAUACCCUGGGGUCAUGACGGUACCGUAAGAAUAAGCACCGGCUAACUACGUGCCAGCAGCCGCGGUAAUACGUAGGGUGCGAGCGUUAAUCGGAAUUACUGGGCGUAAAGCGUGCGCAGGCGGUUUUGUAAGACAGAGGUGAAAUCCCCGGGCUCAACCUGGGAACUGCCUUUGUGACUGCAAGGCUAGAGUACGGCAGAGGGGGAUGGA